GAUAAACGCUGGCGGCGUGCCUAACACAUGCAAGUCGAACGUCCUCUCUCGCAAGAGAGAGGGAGUGGCGGACGGGUGAGUAACACAUGGGUCACCUACCCUUAAGUGAGGAAUACCGGCGAGAAAUCGCCGACAAGACCGCAUAGGCUCUCUCUUUUGCAAGAGAGAGCAAAGCUUCGCAAGAGGCGCUUGAGGAUGGGCCUGUGGCCGAUUAGCUGGUUGGAGGGUAAUGGCUUACCAAGGCGACGAUCGGUAGCUGGUCUGAGAGGACGAUCAGCC
This 279-nucleotide ribosomal RNA is filed under the name uncultured bacterium. RNAcentral's name for it is "partial 16S ribosomal RNA". It matches the Rfam family "Bacterial small subunit ribosomal RNA", at positions 28 to 309 of the family's 1533-position model. The record is from RNAcentral.